RNAcentral lists this ribosomal RNA (374 nucleotides) under Blastococcus sp. CCUG 61487. RNAcentral describes it as "Bacterial large subunit ribosomal RNA". It matches the Rfam family "Bacterial large subunit ribosomal RNA", at positions 1206 to 1553 of the family's 2925-position model. The record is from Rfam by way of RNAcentral. Lineage: Bacteria; Bacillati; Actinomycetota; Actinomycetes; Geodermatophilales; Geodermatophilaceae.
CAUUCACACAACAACCCGUCGUCGAUCGUCGUGGUCGGCGGCCAGGUGUGUGGAUGGGUAGGGGAGCGUCGUGUGGCGGUGGAAGCGGCGGAGUGAUCCAGCCGUGGACGCCACGCGAGUGAGAAUGCAGGCAUGAGUAGCGAGAGGGGAGUGAGAACCUCCCCCGCCGGAAGACCAAGGGUUCCUGGGCCAGGCUAAUCCGCCCAGGGUGAGUCGGGACCUAAGGCGAGGCCGACAGGCGUAGUCGAUGGACAACGGGUUGAUAUUCCCGUACCCGCGAAGGAACGCCCAUGCUGAACCCAGCGAUGCUAACCGCCCGAAGCCCGGUGCUGAUCCUUUCGAGGUGAGGUGCCGGUUCUAGCGCGGGACCCGGA